CCUACGGGCGGCAGCAGUGGGGAAUAUUGCGCAAUGGGCGAAAGCCUGACGCAGCGACGCCGCGUGAGGGAUGAAGGCCUUCGGAUCGUAAACCUCUGUCAGCAGGGAAGAACGGUCACUGUCGUAAUCAGCAGUGAAUUGACGGUACCUGCAAAGGAAGCACCGGCUAACUCCGUGCCAGCAGCUGCGGUAAUACGGAGGGUGCGAGCGUUAAUCGGAUUUACUGGGCGUAAGGCGAUCGUAGGCGGUAUGUCAAGUCAAGGGUGAAAGCCCCGCGCUCAACGUGUGAACUGCCUUUGAAACUGGCAAACUGGAGUGUGUGAGAGGGUAGUGGAAUUCCAGGUGUAGGAGUGAAAUCCGUAGAUAUCUGGAGGAACAUCAGUGGCGAAGGCGACUAUCUGGCACAUAACUGACGCUGAGGAGCGAAAGCGUGGGUAGCAAACAGGAUUAGAUACCCGAGUAGUC
RNAcentral lists this ribosomal RNA (465 nucleotides) under uncultured bacterium. Its description in RNAcentral is "partial 16S ribosomal RNA". It matches the Rfam family "Bacterial small subunit ribosomal RNA", at positions 338 to 795 of the family's 1533-position model. The record is from RNAcentral.